AUGGCUGGAGGAGGUCGCUCGGUGAGGACACACCGCAUCCAGAGGACAGAUGUUAGUCUGAGGAACUCAGUCGGUCCGCGCACAUUCGAACUCUCCUCAUCCAAGUGUGAUUCCUCCUCUUCCCGCAGCGGCACCGCGCAGCCUCCUGCGCGCACGCACACACACACACACACAAUGUCGGAACUCUCUGUCAACGAGCACCUCGAAGGGAUUUUAUCAGAUUUUGAAGCUCUGAAGCGAUCCUUCGAAAUUGAAGAUGUGGACGACAUACCAUCCUUCUCCUCGACUUCCCCUAUCUCCACACCAAUAACCCCCUCUUCCUCCCACUUCUUCCUUAAUCACAAUAAAGCCACAGAGGGGCAAGGGGGAGAUGGUCAAUCCCCUUCAUUAGCCUUCAACAACAACAACAACAACCUGGGCUCUUCAGCCCAUCACUCCUGCAUAAGCCUUGGUUCCAGUCCCAGCCCAGUCCUCAAGUCCCGUACAGUAGUCAGCAGCCUGUCCUUCAACAGAGGAACCAUGAACAAGCAAACCAUCCACCAUAACGGCUCCUCUGUGACCAGAGCCUCAUCCUUCCAGAGCAGAUUAAAUCCCAACAGUUACUCCAUGUUGUCUGGGCCCAGCAGUGACAACGACAGCCUUCACAGCUCCACGUCCAGCCUUGAGUACUCUGGAGGGGGUGGCGGUGCCCUCCCUCUUUCAAAGCUUGGGUCAUACCCUAACCCUCCAUCUCAGGUGGAGUACCACCGAACCCAGCCCAAACUCCCACAACAGCACCUGGGUGGAGAUGCAAACUUAAUAAUUAACCACAGGCUGAAGAAGUUCUCCUCCCAUGGGAGUGUUUUCCCUACCGAAAUGGACAAGGGACCAGGGAUGAUGCUGGGCGUUCCACAGCCUCUGGGGGUUAACCAUGGGUCCAUGCCUAGCCUGGACCUCCAAAUUCGUGAUGGAGGAGGAGGUAUAGUGGGUAUGCAAAGAGGUGGGGGCAGGGUGUCUCCAGGGUUGAGGUAUGCCAAUGUCACCUGGAAUGGUCAUCUUCAUAAUGACACUUCUUUUGGGGUGGAAGGCAACUGUGGCUCCAAAAACCCGUGCCAGCAACAAAGCCCCACUGUCCCCAAGGCCCCCCAGCCUAAGGUCAAAGAGAUACCACGUCUCAACAAGUUUCCCUUGGAUCUGGACAACUUGGUAAGCAGCACCUCAAAAAACUCUGCCAUGAAAGCCAACCAUCCCAAGCCUCAUCCAAGGAGCACAGGAGAUCUCCAGUACCACACCAGCCCACCACCCACGUCAGCCAGCCCUUCAGCCUCUCUCAGCAGCCUGGACGGUUCUUCUGACACCCUGCCCAAUCCCUUUUUGUCUUUCUCCAAAUGUCCCCCAACUCGUUUGCAGGGCUCAAUCCCUGUCACAGGGAUGAGUUGCUCUCCUAUCCCCCUGACUUCAGCACAGAGCCCUCAGCUGGAGGCUGUCUCAGGGCCCCAAAUUAGUCAGAUGUUCCCCAUCCUGCAUGGCCCUUACAGCUCUUCAAACCCUUCAAGCCCCGGAGCCAUUCGGUCUUUGAAGAAUAGUGCCGUUGAUGCCAGAGAAAGUGUAGGCUCAAUCUUACAAAGGAUUGCCUCCUUCUCUUGCCCUGUUACCAGUGACACCACACAAGCAGCUGUGACCCAGCACCCUACAGCCCAAAGCAAUGGGUGGUUGUCUUCUCCAAGUGGGUGUCCUACUGUGACCCUUCCCUCAAGGAUACAGGGGAAGAAGACUCAUGCUGGUAAGAAUUUUUUUCUUCAAAAUUCUUAAAAAGUGAAAGUUGUGUGUCCGUGGUUCAUGAGAUGAUCCCAAAGGAUAUAUAUAAUUGAUAUAUCGCAUUCCAUAUCCCCUUACCCCAACCUUAUCUAUCAGAACUGUGCCUAACCCUAACUUAGAGUUUAUGUGACUUUAUGUGACUUUUUUUUUUUUCUAUUUGAUUUAUAAAGCGCUUUUCAUGCACCCAAAGCGCUGGUACAAAAAAAUAAAAAAAAAUAAAAAAAUAAAAGUGUGACAAAUGUUUAAUUUCUCUACUCUGGCAGGGGUUCAGGAUGGAUAGCUUCUCCUCCACUAAUCACAGGGCAAAUAGUAAAUGUUUCAUCUGAUGGGAUGGCUGGAUGUUUACAUGAGAAUCUUGUCUAGUGCAGAUUCGAAAAACAGAAGGGGUGUUGUUACCCUAACAGGAGGGGACUUUCCCCUCAGCUCCUCCAAGCUCAUCCUGGAGUUAGUCCACUUCCUCUGAGAAGGAAGAGAGAUAAACCAACUGUGGCUUUGUUCUCAAUUCACAUUUGAAAGAGGGCUCUCUUAACAACCACAGAGAUAAACAAGACUUCUGAGUCUUUAUUUUGUGUGGCGUGUAGUAAGUUACUCUACCGGGAACUCUAAGGCUAAAAAAACAAGCCAUAAUGCACUCUAUUAAUAUAACAGACUCACUCCAUCAGGACAGAUCAAUAUUUGCCUGUUUUUCCACUUUUUUUUUCUAUUUCUAUAUCCAUUUAUUUAUGUAUGUGUAAUAAUCGAGUGGCGACGAGCUGUUCUGUCUAUUUAGAAAAACAUAUUUCCCUACUUGAAAUUACACACAAAUUCACUGUAAUUCAACAUGUCUCAGUUUUCCACCUUCACUUAUACGCAGGGUUAGAGCAGCAUACAUUUAUGAAUCUUUGUUUAGCUGAUGUGACACAUGCACAUGUAAGCUGAUCUGUGCGUAUAAUCCGUGCACUCGCAUUUAAC
This 2748-nucleotide long non-coding RNA is filed under the name Scophthalmus maximus (turbot). RNAcentral describes it as "lncRNA (ENSSMAG00000022667.1)". The record is from RNAcentral. Lineage: Eukaryota; Metazoa; Chordata; Actinopteri; Pleuronectiformes; Scophthalmidae.